GAUGAAGAACGUAGCGAAAUGCGAUACGUAGUGUGAAUUGCAGAAUUCCGUGAACCAUCAAAUCUUUGAACGCAUAUUGCGCUCGAGGCUUCGGCCGAGAGCAUGUCUGCCUCAGCGUCGGUAUUACCCCUCGCUUCUCAACCCCUGGUUGAUGCCUGCCUGCCUUUGCAGUUGGCUAGAAGCGGAUCUGGCUUUCCCAAUUGCCUUUGGUAGUUGGGUCAGCUGAAGCACAGAGGCUUGAGCAAGGACCCUUAUUGGGCUUCAACUGGAUAGGUAGAACUGGUCUUAGGACCAACUACACGAAGUUGUUGCUUGUGGUCUUUAUCUGGAGGCCAGCAGGAAACCUUUAUACCUUCGACCUGAGCUCAGGCAAGAUUACCCGCUGAACUUAAGCAUAUCAAUAAGCGGAGGA
This 412-nucleotide unclassified non-coding RNA is filed under the name soil metagenome. Its description in RNAcentral is "partial contains 5.8S ribosomal RNA, internal transcribed spacer 2, and large subunit ribosomal RNA". The stretch from base 1 to 120 matches the Rfam family "5.8S ribosomal RNA", at positions 35 to 154 of the family's 154-position model. The record is from RNAcentral.